UGCCGCAGCUAACGCAUUAAGUAUUCCACCUGGGGAGUACGAUCGCAAGGUUGAAACUCAAAGGAAUUGACGGGGGCCCGCACAAGCAGUGGAGCAUGUGGUUUAAUUCGAUGCAACGCGAAGAACCUUACCUAGGCUUGAAAGGCAAGUGACAGGGUAUGAAAGUACCACUCCAGCAAUGGCACUUGUACAGGUGAUGCAUGGCUGUCGUCAGCUAGUGCCGUGAGGUGUUGGGUUAAGUCCCGCAACGAGCGCAACCCCUACUAUUAGUUGCCACCAGGUUAUGCUGAGCACUCUAAUAGGACUGCCUACGCAAGUAGUGAGGAAGGUGGGGAUGACGUCAAGUCCGCAUGGCCCUUACGCCUAGGGCCUCACACGUGCUACAAUGGGUGUUACAAUGGGUAGCGAAACCGCAAGGUGGAGCCAAUCCCCUAAAAGCAUCCUCAGUUCGGAUUGGAGUCUGCAACUCGACUCCAUGAAGUUGGAAUUGCUGGUAAUCGUGGAUCAGCACGCCACGGUGAAUACGUUCCCGGGCCUUGUACACACCGCCCGUCAAGCCAUGGAAGCCGAGGGUACCCAAAGCCAGCGUCCUAACCGCAAGGAGGGAGCUGUUUAAGGUAAAAUCGG
RNAcentral lists this ribosomal RNA (627 nucleotides) under uncultured bacterium. RNAcentral describes it as "bacterial SSU rRNA". It matches the Rfam family "Bacterial small subunit ribosomal RNA", at positions 844 to 1471 of the family's 1533-position model. The record is from RNAcentral.